This 253-nucleotide ribosomal RNA is filed under the name uncultured bacterium. Its description in RNAcentral is "partial 16S ribosomal RNA". It matches the Rfam family "Bacterial small subunit ribosomal RNA", at positions 524 to 776 of the family's 1533-position model. The record is from RNAcentral.
UACGUAGGUGGCGAGCGUUAUCCGGAAUUACUGGGCGUAAAGCGCAAGCAGGCGGUCUGUUAAGUUUGACGUAAAAUCUCCUGGCUUAACUGGGAGGGGUCGUUGGAGACUGGCAGACUUGAGGCGAUGAGAGGGGCAUGGAAUUCCCGGUGUAGUGGUGGAAUGCGUAGAGAUCGGGAGGAACACCAGAGGCGAAAGCGGUGCCCUGGCAUUGGCCUGACGCUGAGAUGCGAAAGCGUGGGGAGCAAACAGG